Molecule: long non-coding RNA, 374 nt
Filed under: Homo sapiens (human)
Lineage: Eukaryota; Metazoa; Chordata; Mammalia; Primates; Hominidae
Description: HSALNT0204289
Source: RNAcentral
AUUUACUUCUUUCUGGAAGCGAUGAGCACAGUGUAAUUCCUGAGAAAUUUUAAUAAUGAUAUUUUAAUUAUAAUUAAGUGAAACCUAGCAAAGUUGGCUGUAUCUGGAGGAACUCCACUGUGGGAAACAGAUUCUUAAGCCAAACUCAACGUGUGACUUCCAUUAGAUGGCUGAAGAUGGCUGUUUCGCUGCAUCAAUGUGUGACUUUCAAUAGAUGAUCGAAGAUGGCUGUUUGGCACUGUGUCUGAAUUAAGCCAGAAGGAAGGAGGAAGAAGAUGAAGAAAAGGCAUGCCUCUACCCCUUAGGACCACGUCUCUGAAGCUGUAUACAACAUUUCUGCUCUCAUAUAAUUGGGCAGAACUUAGUCAUAGAGC